GGGGAAAGCCCUGGCAAAUAGAGACUGCUAGAAAAAGCAAAGAUAGUAUCUGCUGUUCCAUAAACAAGCAGUUACUGGACGGCAGGUAAUUUCGGCUGUGUAAUGCAGGCAAGCGCUUAGCCUGUGCUACUAACCCCUUGCUAGGUCCCAUCUAAACUGUUUCACGCCUGAAAAUUGCUAUGGGGUUAAAUUGUCCAUCAGCAGGAAGAGAAAAAGGGAAGCUUCAUGUUCAUGAUGAGGAACAUGUUCAGAGAAGCGUCAAGCUUGAAUGGAAAGAGAGGGAGGAGAAAUGUCUGUAAAGAGAUUAUGGAGCUAAGUAAGGUAAGAACAGCUUUAAAACAGCAGGCACGGAAGUGAAUGGAUAGAAUGGAAGAGUCCACUCACUAGACCUAGAGAGACCUAGACUAGAUUCGCAGAGAUUAAAAUCACCCCAGCUGGUACACACAAGUUUUCUAGAAUUCUAGGAGUCCACAGAAUAGCAUUAAUCACCAUGGGAGUCUGGCAUCACUGCUGUGUGGAGCUGCCUUCAUGAAGCCGGCAGAGCAAAGAUCCAGGAGCAGAAGCCCAAAAAGCAUUGAAGGAGAGAAGCAGCAGGAUGGGGCUUCCAGAGGUAAUUGGACAACUGGUUACUUGGAGCCCUCACUUCUGAAAAUCAUUUUUCUGGUGCUAUGGGCUGCUGAGUGAGAAUCUCUUUGGACCUGCUUCUCUCCUUUCUGUUCAUUACUGGGGUUAAUCAAAACCCAGACCUUUCUCCGACCUCAAACAUAUUACCAUGAUGGGCUGGGAAAAUCGCCGAGGCUGGACUGUACUGCUGCCAUCUCGACUCACUGCAACCUCCCUGCCUGAUUCUCCUGCCUCAGCCUGCCAAGUACCUGGGAUUGCAGGCGCGCGCCGCCACUCCUGACUGGUUUUCGUAUUUUUUGGUGGAGACGGGGUUUCGCCCUGUUGGCCGGGCUGGUCUCCAGCUCCUGACCGCGAGUGAUCUGCCAGCCUCGGCCUCCCGAGGUGCCAGGAUUGCAGACGGAGUCUCGCUCACUCAGUGCUCAGUGUUGCCCAGGCUGGAGUGCAGUGGCGUGAUCUCGGCUCCCUACAACCUCCACCUCCCAGCCACCUGCCUUGGCCUCCCAAAGUGCCGAGAUUGCAGCCUCUGCCUGGCCGCCACCCCAUCUAGGAAGUGAGGAGCAUCUCUGCCUGGCCGCCCAUCGUUUGGGAUGUGAGGAGCCCCUCUGCCCGGCCGCCCAGUCUGGGAAGUGAGGAGCGCCUCUUCCCGGCCACCAUCCCGUCUUGGAAGUGAGGAGUGUCUCUGCCCGGCCGCCCAUCGUCUGGGAUGUGGGGAGCGCCUCUGCCCCGCCAACCCGUCUGAGAUGUGAAGAGCGCCUCUGCCCGGCUGCGACCCCGUCUGGGAACUGAGGAGUGUCUCUGCCCCGCCGCCACCCCGUCUGGGAGGUGAGGAGCGUCUCUGACCGGCCGCCCCUUCUGAGAAGUGAGGAGCCCCUCCGCCCAGCAGCCGCCCCGUCUGGGAAGUGAGGAGCCCCUCUGCCUGGCCGCCACCCCGUCUGGGGGGUGUACCCAGCAGCUCAUUGAGAACGGGCCAUGAUGACGAUGGUGGUUUUGUCGAAUAGAACAGGGGGAAAUGUGGGGAAGGGAAGGAGAGAUCAGAUUGUUACUGUGUCUGUGUAGAAAGAAGUAGACAUAGGAGACUCCAUUUUGUUCUGUACUAAGAAAAGUUCUUCUGCCUUGGGAUGCUGUUAAUCUAUAACCUUACCCCCAACCCCGUGCUCUCUGAAACAUGUGCUGUGUCCACUAAGGGUUAAAUGGAUUAAGGGCGGUGCAAGAUGUGCUUUGUUAAACAGAGGCUUGAAGGCAGCAUACUCCUUAAGAGUCAUCACCACUCCCUGAUCUCAAGUACCCAGGGACACAAACACUGCAGAAGGCGGCAUGGCCCUCUGCCUAGGAAAACCAGAGACCUUUGUUCACAUGUUUAUCUGCUGACCUUCCCUCCACUAUUGUCCUAUGACCCUGCCAAAUCCCCCUCUCCGAGAAACACCCAAGAAUGAUCAAUAAAUACUAAAAAAAUUAAAAUAAAAUAAAAUAAAAUAAGCCUUGACCUCCCAGGCUCAGGUGAUCCUCCCAUGUCAGCCUCUCCGGUAGCUGGCACUACAGGUGCACACCACCACACCCAGCUAAUUUUUGUAUUUUCUUGUAGAGAAGGGCUCCCACCAUGAUUCCCAGGCUGGUCCCGAACCCCUGGGAAGGAGGGCUAAAGCUAUCCACCCUCCUCUUCCUCCCAAAGUGUUGUGAUUACAGUUGUAAGCUACUGUGCCUGGCCAAGAAAACAAUUUUUAAAGAGGCUAGGUAAUUCAAAGUCACACAGUUAAUAAUGGUGCAGUGAGAAAUGAAAAUGCUCACUCUGUGGCUUCAGAGCUUACACUCUCCUACUUUUAUGGAGUACACUAAAUUAGGAACCAGAUAAAACUUGUCAUCUUACAAAUCCUCCUCAUAAACCUUAUCUGUAAUAUCAGGAGAAGAAUACCUACUUUGUAUAGUUAUUGUGAUGAAUAAGUGAUUUUUAAAAAUAUUUAGCACAGCCUGGUACACAGUGUAUUUUCAAGAUAUGAUAGUUUAAAAAAAAAAAAAAAAACCUAAAACCCACAAAACAGACAUUUCAACAUGAGUUUUUCUUCAUACCUUCAUACGUUUUGUAUAAAUCUGGCCAUCUUUCAUUCUUCUUCCUCCCACUCUCUGGGAUUAUAUUGUUUUUAUGCAAUCGGGAUAAACUAAUAAACUAAUUUUCAUUAUGAUUUUAUGUCUUCUUAAGAGAUGUGCCUUGAACUUUGAAAGAAUUGUGAGAGAAAAAGAGCGCCUGUGCAAACAAUUUAUUUUUCCAGGAAACAUUAAUCAAACCUCCAUUCUAGGCAAGGGGCUCUACUAGGCAAUGGGACUAUAAUAAUAAAAAGGCAGAUGAGGGUCAGCCCUCCUGGAGCUUACAUUCAGGCAGAGAAGACACAAUAAACAACAAACCAACAAUGAAUAAACAGACAUCCAUAUAAACAUUAUAAAAGAAAGAAACUUGAUGUUAUACAUGACAGAGGGGUGUGGUUACAGAGGAUGAUCAGAGAAGUCCUCUUUAAAGAGAUGAUUGUUAAGCAGAUACCUAUAAGACAAGGAGACACACAAAGAAAGUCUAGGAGGAAACUUUCACAGAGCGACCAGCAAUUGCCAACUUCCUUAGGAAAGAGGUUAGAAUGUUCUAGAACCUCAAAAAAGCUAUGAUGCAUAAUGAGUGAGGGUGAAGGUGGCAUGAAAUGAGGUUAGAAAGCUAGGCAGCUGUCAUAUCCUGCAGGAAUCCUAGCUCAUGAUAGGAAGGAGGGUUUCAUUAUGCCCAUGUUGGAAAUGUUACAACCCUAAAGAGUUUGAAGUAAGGAAGUGACAUGCUGUACUUAAUAUUAUUAAAGGUUUACUCUAGCAUGUAACUGCAUAAUAAAUUAUGUCCUGUGCUACAGGACAGUGAUGAGGGGGAAUUAAGAAGAAUGGAAGAAUAGGAUAGUGUUUACACUUCUAUAGCAUUUAUAUUCAUUUGUUGAUUUUUUUAGAUUGUUUAAUGAUUGUUAGUUGUCAUUGUGUCUUCUCCACACUGAGAAGACUGGAAGUCUAAAUAUGAGAUAAGAAGUGUUGAAUUAGACUAGCAUGGUGGCAAUGGCUAUGAGGAACAGUGUAUAAAUACAAGAUAUAUUCUGGAGGUAGAAUUGAAAGGCAGAUUACUUUUUAUUUUAUUUUAUUUUAAGUUCCAGGAUACAAGGGCAGGACGUGCAGGUGUGUUACAUAGGUAAAACUGUGCCAUGAUGUUUUGCCACACCUAUCGCUAUCCUAUCGCCCCAUCACCUAGGUAUUAAGCACCACAUGCAUUAGCUCUUUAUCCUGAUGCUCUCCUUCCAUUUGCCCCCCGAGUGUGUGUUGUUCUCCUCCCUGUGUCCAUGUGUUCUCGUUGUUCAGCUCCCACUUAUAAGUGAGAAUAUUAGAGAAAUGCAAAUCAAAAUCAUAUUGAGAUACCAUGUCAUGCCAGUCAGAAUGGCAGGUUAAUUUUGAAAUGCCCUAAAACAUCUAAGGGACCAUGCCAAGUAGACAGCUGGAUAGAUGAAUCUGCAUGAAAAGGAGGUCGGGGCAGCCAGAUACUAGUGUGGGGGACUGUGUGUUAACUCUAUUUUCUUACUUUCUGUAUUCUUGAUGCUCUGGAUUCCAGAGCCUCACUGACAAGGGAUAGACUGCCCCUCCUGGGGCUAGCUAAUUCCUAGAGAUACCAAAUGACUCCCUGUGGAGCACACCUUUCACAUGCAAACCAGCUAAUCCAGAGCCCACACCUCCAACUAUCUCCUUUUUCACGCUCUCAAUAUUCCCCUGCCAUUAUCAACCCAGGGCCAGAUAGCAGACAACUACAGACCACUCCUAGAGUGCAGAGUCCACUGAAAUUACUCAGUCUAAUCCUAAACCUGCUCAGCUUGCUUACACUGCCUUGCACAUUCCUUCCCAUGAAAAUCACAAUAAAGGUUACGGCCCAUUCUUUCUUCUUGCUUCUUCUGCCUUCUGACCAACCCUGGUGUGGCGCGUGUGGCCCUGUGUCGUAUGGCAUGCCCCUUCCUCUUGAGAACUUUGUGUAACAAACCACCUUCAAUGGCAAACCUCUCAUGACCUGUCGAUAAAAACAACCCCGACCCAGCCCCAUUCAAAAGCAGAUCCAUUUUAAAAACAGGUUGUCCGUGAUCAAAUCAGGAUAAUUACUCUAUUAAUAUGUACAAAUAUUGUGUCAAUUUAAAAAAUAACAGAUUGUCAGCAUAACAAUGGCAUUGAAAGCCUUUAGAAUGAUGGGGAUCACUUAAGGGAAGUGUGUAGAUAGAGAAAAGGAGUCACGAGGGCCACCAGGGGAGUCCCCAAAACUAAAGAUCUAUGUUUUGGAUUUCAGACUGUGUGUCAACUGAGUUGAAGAAUUAUUUUCAAGCUUUCUCAGCACCUCAAAAAUCAUGCCACAUAAGCCACUGCCUACUCUACGUAAGUGUAAGGCUGAUCCUGUUUCAAAAUGAGUAAUCUUCACUAAGCCCACAAGCAUAGUUGAGUUAUCUUCCCAGAGAAAUAACAUGAAGUUAAAAGCCAUCCACGUGAGGAUACACCCAGUAGGCAGAAACACAUGAGAUAUAAAGCAACCAUCCCAAUGUGCUGAUAAGAAAGAAAAAAAAAAAACACGUAGGUAAAACUCCUACACUGACAGACAUCCAGGGUCUCUGCUGAGAUGUCAGGCAACCAAAUGCACACAGAGCCAUAUCCCCAGAGCACGUCUCAGACCUGUGCCAUUCCAGCACAGCGUUCUCACAGGUCUACGGUGAAAUGAGAAAACCAGGCAGUGCAUUUUCAACAAAGCUAAAAGUAUUUAUUUAAAAGAAUUCCUUUGAAUCUGAGAUUAUGACUUUUCUGCCUUUUUUGGUAUUUAGAUACCCUUCCUUUCACGAAAUAGUGGCAAAAGUAGAGACAGUUUGUUACUUUUAUACUUGACAAAAGAACAAACAGGCAGUCCCAUAGAGGCCCUUCACAUUUUUUACUCUUUUCUUUUUACUGGACCAUAAUUUAAAAAUUUGGAAACCACUAAUCUAAAAGAUGUUACAUACCCAGAUAUUUGAAAAAAAAAAUCCACUAUUUAUAACCAGAUUUCUGCUUUCUGUUUCAUCCGGACAAAUGGAGUAACCCAGACAUAGCUCGAAUGAGAUUUCUCAACGCCACCCAUGAUAUGGAGUUUCCAUUUUGACAGGUUGGCCGUGAGUUAGGAAACUAUUAUCCCAGUGAUGGAGGGAAUGCGUACACAUCCAGAGCUAAAGUGUUAUGUUUUCUCAGAUACUGACAAGUAGGGACAAAGGUUCAAUGGUGACUAAUGAAUAAACUGUUAAGGUGGAGUCAGGACUUAAUUGUUUAAAAGCAGUCACUUGAGGCAUGUAGCUGCAUUCACUGUGAAACCAAAUCAAGCUUCUGAUGAUGUGGCAAGGACAGAUGUAUGUAUUUAUUUAUUUAAACAAAAAGGCUUAGCACUUCAUCAAAGUCUACUCUCCGCUUAAACUUUGAACAGCUACUAUAAGGGGAUGUAGGAUGAACAAGUUAUCUUUGGGUUUUUUGGGUUUUUUUUUGUUUUUUUUUUUUGCUAAUUCUGGGAGUAAUUACAGCAUCAAAUUUCUGGGUAUGUUCUUCAAUAAGUAGGUCAGGCUCAAAUGUUUGGAUACAGUAAUUUAGGAGGAGGAGCUUGUCCUGAGGAGGUUGCUAGAAGGGAGAUGAGGGAGACAGAGCCAAAGGCAUAAUAAAUGAUAAAUUAUGCAUUAAUCAGGCCACUCCUUCAUUUUCCUAUUGUGGUUAAGAGAUUACAAUAUUAAUCUAGCACUACCCAUUUAAUGUAAUGAAAAGCAGUGACAAAGAAAACUUCUACUGUUUUCUAUGGAAGAAGCGAUGCAAAGCUUGAGAAAUUGGCUGCAAGAUUACCUACUGUCAUUUCCACAUUCACCUAAAGUGAUCACACUUGAACCAAGACCAUCACAGGAAAAGGGAGGAUGUUUAUCACUGGGAUCUAGAACUCUGGCUUCCCUAAUUUCUUCAUGGACCAGAAUGGAGCCUGCAGGCAGCACUAUGGCCAGUCUGCACAUACUGCAUUAAAAAAAGAAAAGUGACAUGACUUUUUGUUCUUGUUGGGGCUUUCCUUCAACUGUAACUAAAAAAAAAAAAAAAAAAUACUGAUAUCAGACCAAAGGGGAAAAAGCCAUAUAUUUUGUUUCUGUAAAUAUAAACACAGUUGUAGGGGCACACAGACAUGAUGUUGACGUAUGUAUGGGUGUUUGUAUACAUUUUUAGAGAUGGGCAUCGGGUAAAUUAAAAACAUAAUUUCAUUAGAAAUUCAGAACCAGAUUUAUUCUUUUCAGUUACAAGACAUAAAAGCUUCAAUAUAAAAUAAAGUUGUAUUUCUGUAUUGAAUUGUCUUGAACUUUUGUACUGAACCAAUAUAAAAAUUGAACUGUUCUUUGGUAUUGAACCAGAAAAAGACCGAAUGGCCUCUCAGCCUGAAAAUGGAAGUUCACCAUUCAAUUCCUAAAAUAACUUGCUUACUACCAUAACAUUUGAACAAGAAAUAUUUAAUUUUUAAUGCUAUUUUAAAAAUCCAUGUUGCUUGAUCUCAUAUGUUUUAAACAAAGUUAUACCAGGAGAAGAAACUCAAGAAAUAAAGUUUUG
Molecule: long non-coding RNA, 7251 nt
Filed under: Homo sapiens (human)
Lineage: Eukaryota; Metazoa; Chordata; Mammalia; Primates; Hominidae
Description: HSALNT0142329
Source: RNAcentral